This 21-nucleotide microRNA is filed under the name Brachypodium distachyon (stiff brome). RNAcentral describes it as "bdi-miR5177". The record is from miRBase by way of RNAcentral. Lineage: Eukaryota; Viridiplantae; Streptophyta; Magnoliopsida; Poales; Poaceae.
UGAGGUUGUAAAACAGACAGU